GAUGAACGCUGGCGGCGUGCCUAAUACAUGCAAGUCGAGCGGACGGACGAGAAGCUUGCUUCUCUGAUGUUAGCGGCGGACGGGUGAGUAACACGUUGAUAACCUACCUAUAAGACUGGGAUAACUUCGGGAAACCGGAGCUACUACCGGAUGAUAUUUUGAACCGCAUGAUUCAAAAGUGAAAGACGGUCUUGCUGUCACUUAUAGAUGGAUCCGCGCUGCAUUAGCUAGUUGGUAAGGUAACGGCUUACCAAGGCAACGAUGCAUAGCCGACCUGAGAGGGUGAUCGGCCACACUGGAACUGAGACACGGUCCAGACUCCUACGGGAGGCAGCAGUAGGGAAUCUUCCGCAAUGGGCGAAAGCCUGACGGAGCAACGCCGCGUGAGUGAUGAAGGUCUUCGGAUCGUAAAACUCUGUUAUUAGGGAAGAACAUAUGUGUAAGUAACUGUGCACAUCUUGACGGUACCUAAUCAGAAAGCCACGGCUAACUACGUG
Molecule: ribosomal RNA, 497 nt
Filed under: uncultured bacterium
Lineage: Bacteria
Description: partial 16S ribosomal RNA
Rfam family: Bacterial small subunit ribosomal RNA
Source: RNAcentral